CCGGCACGGGUGAGUAACACGUAUCCAACCUGCCGUCUACUCUUGGACAGCCUUCUGAAAGGAAGAUUAAUACAAGAUGGCAUCAUGAGUCCGCAUGUUCACAUGAUUAAAGGUAUUCCGGUAGACGAUGGGGAUGCGUUCCAUUAGAUAGUAGGCGGGGUAACGGCCCACCUAGUCUUCGAUGGAUAGGGGUUCUGAGAGGAAGGUCCCCCACAUUGGAACUGAGACACGGUCAA
Molecule: ribosomal RNA, 236 nt
Filed under: uncultured bacterium
Lineage: Bacteria
Description: partial 16S ribosomal RNA
Rfam family: Bacterial small subunit ribosomal RNA
Source: RNAcentral